This 412-nucleotide ribosomal RNA is filed under the name uncultured beta proteobacterium. RNAcentral's name for it is "bacterial SSU rRNA". It matches the Rfam family "Bacterial small subunit ribosomal RNA", at positions 506 to 916 of the family's 1533-position model. The record is from RNAcentral. Lineage: Bacteria; Pseudomonadati; Pseudomonadota; Betaproteobacteria.
UGUCAGCCGCCGCGGUAAUACGUAGGGUGCGAGCGUUAAUCGGAAUUACUGGGCGUAAAGCGUGCGCAGGCGGUUGUGCAAGACAGAUGUGAAAUCCCCGGGCUCAACCUGGGAACUGCAUUUGUGACUGCACGACUAGAGUACGGCAGAGGGGGGUAGAAUUCCACGUGUAGCAGUGAAAUGCGUAGAGAUGUGGAGGAAUACCGAUGGCGAAGGCAGCCCCCUGGGCCGAUACUGACGCUCAUGCACGAAAGCGUGGGGAGCAAACAGGAUUAGAUACCCUGGUAGUCCACGCCCUAAACGAUGUCAACUAGUUGUUGGUAGGGUUAAACCUAUUAGUAACGUAGCUAACGCGUGAAGUUGACCGCCUGGGGAGUACGGUCGCAAGAUUAAAACUCAAAUAAAUUGACGG